GAUGAACGCUAGCUACAGGCUUAACACAUGCAAGUCGAGGGGCAGCGGUAUCGAAAGCUUGCUUUCGGUAGCCGGCGACCGGCGCACGGGUGAGUAACGCGUAUCGAACCUGCCUCAUACUCGGGAAUAGCCUUGCGAAAGUAAGAUUAAUGCCCGGUGUUUUCAGAGUCCCGCAUGAGGCUUUGAACAAAGAUUUAUCGGUAUGAGAUGGCGAUGCGUCCCAUUAGCUUGUUGUCGGGGUAACGGCCCACCAAGGCAUCGAUGGGUAGGGGUUCUGAGAGGAAGGUCCCCCACAUUGGAACUGAGACACGGUCCAAACUCCUACGGGAGGCAGCAGUGAGGAAUAUUGGUCAAUGGGCGGAAGCCUGAACCAGCCAAGUAGCGUGCAGGAAGACGGCCCUCCGGGUUGUAAACUGCUUUUAGUUGGGAAUAAAACGGGGCUCGUGAGCCCCCUUGCAUGUACCAUCAGAAAAAGAACCGGCUAAUUCCGUG
RNAcentral lists this ribosomal RNA (492 nucleotides) under uncultured bacterium. RNAcentral's name for it is "partial 16S ribosomal RNA". It matches the Rfam family "Bacterial small subunit ribosomal RNA", at positions 28 to 507 of the family's 1533-position model. The record is from RNAcentral.